This is a non-coding RNA of Cyprinodon variegatus (sheepshead minnow), 472 nucleotides long. The record is from the annotation of a RefSeq genome assembly. NCBI's taxonomy places the organism in Eukaryota, Metazoa, Chordata, Actinopteri, Cyprinodontiformes, Cyprinodontidae.
UUAAACUCUGAUCAUUUAGCGAGUCAGUCCCCAAUAAGACAGACAGAAGGAUAGAGACAUGAUGUUCAGAGAUUUCAGCGGGAUCGCUCUGCUGCUCUUUUUGCUCCUUGAUUUUUCCCUCACCACCAUUGUUCAGCAGGAUCCCCCUUCGAUAAUAGGAAGUCCAAAGGGUCCUGCAAAAAUCAAAUGCAACCAUUCAGUUAGUACAUAUGAUACAAUACUGUGGUACCAGAAACCCAUUGGUGGAUCUGUUCUUAAAUUUAUGGCCUAUAAUCUAAUAUCUGGUGCAACACUUGAGGAUGAAUUCAAAGGCCACUUCAUUGUUGAGGGAGAUGGCUCCAAGAAUUCAGAGCUUCGUGUAGAGAAACUCCAGCCAGAAGACAGCGGCAUUUACUACUGUGCAGCUAGUAGGCACAGUGAUUCAUACAGUCUCUUCCCACUACAAAAACUCCAGAACAUAAACACAAACUGA